GAUGAACGCUGGCGGCGUGCCUAAUACAUGCCAGUAGAACGCUGAAGGGGGAGCUUGCUCUUCUGGAUGAGUUGCGAACGGGUGAGUAACGCGUAGGUAACCUGCCUGGUAGCGGGGGAUAACUAUUGGAAACGAUAGCUAAUACCGCAUGACAACAGUUAUUGCAUGAUAACUGUUUAAAAGGGGCAACUGCUCCACUACCAGAUGGACCUGCGUUGUAUUAGCUAGUUGGUGAGGUAACGGCUCACCAAGGCGACGAUACAUAGCCGACCUGAGAGGGUGAUCGGCCACACUGGGACUGAGACACGGCCCAGACUCCUACGGGAGGCAGCAGUAGGGAAUCUUCGGCAAUGGACGGAAGUCUGACCGAGCAACGCCGCGUGAGUGAAGAAGGGUUUCGGAUCGUAAAGCUCGGUUGUAAGAGAAGAACGAGUGUGAGAGUGGAAAGUUCACACUGUGACGGUAUCUUACCAGAAAGGGACGGCUAACUACGUG
RNAcentral lists this ribosomal RNA (495 nucleotides) under uncultured bacterium. Its description in RNAcentral is "partial 16S ribosomal RNA". It matches the Rfam family "Bacterial small subunit ribosomal RNA", at positions 28 to 507 of the family's 1533-position model. The record is from RNAcentral.